Molecule: transfer RNA, 72 nt
Filed under: Camelus bactrianus (Bactrian camel)
Lineage: Eukaryota; Metazoa; Chordata; Mammalia; Artiodactyla; Camelidae
Also listed under: 2 other names
Rfam family: tRNA
About the family: Transfer RNA (tRNA) molecules are approximately 80 nucleotides in length. Their secondary structure includes four short double-helical elements and three loops (D, anti-codon, and T loops).
Source: Rfam by way of RNAcentral
GGGGGUAGAGCUCAGUGGUAGAGCAUGUGCUUAACAUGCAUAAGGUCCUGAGUUCAACCCCCAGUACCUCCA